AUGUUUUGUAAUGACCGAGGUCUAACUACUUUUGCUUCUUAUAUAUGCACGCUUUUCUUGAAAAUCCAUAGCAUUUUUCUUAUUUUUUUGUUUUAUUGAACACUUUUAGUUAUAAAUUUAAUAAACUAAAUUGUGAGAAUUUUAUUAUAAUAAUGAAUUACUGGCCCCGUUCGGUAACCAUUUUAAAAAUGGUUUUUGUUUUUUUAAUAAAAAAUUUAUAAAUACAAACAGAAAUUAUGUUCGGUAAACUAUUUUACUUUUUUGUUUUUAAAAUUUAAAAUUAAAAAGAAGUAAAUUUUAAAAAUAAAUUUUUGAUGAUUUUAAAAAUUUUUAAAAACACUUUUUCAGUACACUUUUGCUUAUCUCUCUCUCUCUCUCUCUCUCUCUCUCUCUCUCUCUCUCUCUCUCUCUCUCUCUCUCUCUCUCUCUCUCUCUCUCUCUCUCGUUAGUCUUCCAUCUCCUCAAUGAGUCUUCCAUGGCUUCACCUAUUCCAGAUUUGAAAAUGAAAAAAAAAAAAAUGAGAAGAGCAUGACAAUGAGAGUGGUUUCUUAAAGAGAAAGAUUUUUUGC
Cannabis sativa is the source of this 569-nucleotide long non-coding RNA. RefSeq lists it as uncharacterized. The transcript is spliced from 2 exons. Lineage: Eukaryota; Viridiplantae; Streptophyta; Magnoliopsida; Rosales; Cannabaceae. The record is from RefSeq and is a predicted model, not a curated record.